Characodon lateralis is the source of this 74-nucleotide non-coding RNA. The record is from the annotation of a GenBank genome assembly. Lineage: Eukaryota; Metazoa; Chordata; Actinopteri; Cyprinodontiformes; Goodeidae.
ACCUCGGUGGCACAAUUGGUGACACUGUUGCCUUGUGGCAAGAAGGUCCUGGGUUCAAAUCCCAGCCUGAGGUC